UCUGUAUCAUCUGCGAUUUUUAUUCUAUUUAGCUAUUACUUAGUAUCUCUGUGUGUGUCUUGCAGUUCUCUCACAUUCCUUAUAUUUUGUGGUUUGAUCCCAAGACGCAGGACCACCUGCCCCCCAACUCUCUAAAGGCUGUGGCUCAUUAGACUGCACUCUGGUGAUUGGUGGUCUUUGUUCAGUUCAGUCAGCUGUGAGUGUGGAGAAGAGAGGACUGAGGAGAGAGAUGAGCAGCAUCUGGAGGUGAGAUGACAAUUAGACAGGCUGUG
Molecule: long non-coding RNA, 272 nt
Organism: Erpetoichthys calabaricus (reedfish)
Lineage: Eukaryota; Metazoa; Chordata; Cladistia; Polypteriformes; Polypteridae
Exons: 2
Source: RefSeq, a predicted model, not a curated record